Molecule: non-coding RNA, 773 nt
Organism: Nannospalax galili (Upper Galilee mountains blind mole rat)
Lineage: Eukaryota; Metazoa; Chordata; Mammalia; Rodentia; Spalacidae
Source: the annotation of a RefSeq genome assembly
AACACCUCAUGUGUUAAUGAAAUAGAGAUUUUUUUUUUUUUCCUGCUUGGAAUCCCGCCUCCUAGUGGUGAACUUCUGGACCAGCCACAGCCAUGAAGUACAGAUCAAGAUUGGGCCCGAGAAAGAACAUUGAGCUAAGAAAAACACCUAACACCAUGCUGAUCGCCAGCCUACUGAGAGCAGUCAUUGCCUCCAUCUGUCUUGGAGCCAGCAUAUCUCAGAAGGUAACUCAGGCUCAGACUGCAAUUUCUAUCAUGGAGAAGAAGAAUGUGACAUUGGACUGUGUUUAUGAAAUUCGUGAUACUAAUUACUACUUAUUCUGGUACAAGCAAACCCUAAGUGGGGAAAUGGUUUUCCUUGUUCGCCAGGACUCUUACAAAAAGGAAAAUGCAACAGAGGGUCGCUAUUCUCUGAACUUCCAGAAAUCUGCCAGCUACAUUGGACUCACCAUCACAGCCACAUGGGUUCAGGAUGCAGCAGUGUAUUUCUGUGCUCUGGGGGAGAGCACAGUGAGAGGAGUGUCUACAGGAGUCCCACAAAAACCUCAACAAGAGAUAGAGGCCCUGAGGAGACACUCCACCACAGAGAGGAGGAAGCAGGGGCUGUGGCAACACAGGUGGAGUCUGGCAAGAAAACUUAGUUCAAUUCCUGUGGAAUGCCUGUAUCAUUUAGCUCCAUCAUUUAGCAGAAGGGAAGCUAUCAGAAGUCUUGGUGAAAUUGGGGAACGUGAAAACCACUUCUACAUAGAGAGGGAGGAUUUCAUUGCUGCAUGA